This 1352-nucleotide unclassified non-coding RNA is filed under the name Zerene cesonia (dogface butterfly). Its description in RNAcentral is "uncharacterized LOC119837969, transcript variant X7". Lineage: Eukaryota; Metazoa; Arthropoda; Insecta; Lepidoptera; Pieridae. The record is from RNAcentral.
AUUCUCAGUCUUUAAUUUUUCAACAGUGAAAGCACGGUGUAAAGAACUGUGAAAAAGUCGCAAUGCUCUUUGCUCGUACUACUCAGUGAUCUCAGAUUAAGAAUUAGUUUCCUGUGAUCGGAACAUUCCCCAAAUAUUUUCUUUUGAAUGUUGACACUUUGCGUUUCUUUAGUGUGUCAAAUGUCAAAUGUCAAGCAAAAUAGCUCACUAAUAGCAGGCUGAGUCGGUGCAUUGGUGUUUUCCCAAAAUAACAAAAUUUAUACGAUACAAUUUGAUUUUGUUGCGUUAAAACGUUCGUACAAAUAAAAAUAAUGCUACAUAAGUGUUAUGUUGGUGGUUGUAAAUCAACAAAGCGAAACACACCGUGUGUUUUGUUUUCCUAAAAAUGAUUACCUCAGAAAUUUGUGGGUAUCCUUUAUAGCUCCUACAAAGCCUCACAUUAUUGCACUAUCAAAAGAACAACUGCUCAGAAAACGUGUUUGUGAAAAACAUUUCGACAAAUAUCAGCUGGAUGAAGAGGGCAAAAGAUUACGCUAUUCUUAUCCUUGUUUGUUCACGGAUGAAGAAAUAGCACUCGGUGAACCUUUUUUUGCUCCUGAAGCCGGGCAUGAUAUUCUAAGAGACCACAAUUACUGCAAAGAGCAGAAUGACGAUGAAGAUUUAACAGAUACUGCUAUGGUUGUUGGAAGAGCAGGUUAAGAUUUUAGUGAACACCCAACAUGUCCUAUGCGUUAAUUGGAUGUUAAAGAUGGAGUAGAAAAUAACCAUGACCAAUUAGAAUCUGAAUUAGAUGGCACCAUUAAUAUCACUGGAUGCACUUCAGUAUAUUUUUCAACUCCCCCCCCUUGGUUAAAGGGUUGAUAAAUAGGUUUCUAUUUAAAGAUGUAUAAUAUAAAUAUAAUAAGGCAAGGAAAGACAUUAUAUUUCUCUAUAUAGAAAGAAAUUUAAUUUGUGAAUCUCUUGGACAGCUAGUUGGAAAAUCCAGCUUCAUUGCCACCUCGCCAAAAUGAAAAACUCGUUGUAUAAAUCCCGAAAAAAAAUUAAAAAGAUAGUCUUUCUACAGAAGAUCAGCAUGAACUACAGCAAUAUUGAGACUUUGGGAUUGAAAUGUAAUGAUAUGCUUUGUUAUUAAUAAAGUGAUUUUGUAGACUAGACCUGGAAUCGAUGCUAGUUCAUGAAAAGAGGCAACUGCCAAAUUAAAUUUUGACAACCUUUUCGUGUAUCAAUUGCUACUAAGCAGAAGCAACCAAAGGAAAAUCAAUGAAAGCUGUUAAGGACAUUUUUGUUGUACCUUUGCAGGCUUUUAACCUUUAAAAUUAAGUAAAAAGCUUUAAAUAAAUGUUUACACUGUC